GCACCUCUGUGCCCAGGGGUUGGACUCCGCUGUGCCAGUGGUGAGUGUGUCCUGAGAGGGGGCCCUUGUGACGGUGUUCUGGACUGCGAGGAUGGCUCGGAUGAGGAGGGCUGUGUGUUGCUGCCUGAGGGCACUGGCAGAUUCCAUUCCACAGCCAAGACCCUGGCCCUCUCCUCUGCCCAGCCGGGGCAGCUGCUGCACUGGCCCAGGGAGAGACAAGGCCCGUGAGUCCUGGCCCAGCCUCCGGGGUGCCUCACCAUGGGGAAUCUGUGCAGAUGGUGACCACCACCCCCAUACCCCAGAUGGAGGCCAGGACCCUGCCACCAGGUAUGGCAGCUGUGACGGUGGUGCCCCCACACCCUGUGACUCCAGCGACCCCUGCUGGUAAGAUGCCAAGCCCUUCUACCUGUGUGCAAG
This 417-nucleotide long non-coding RNA is filed under the name Homo sapiens (human). RNAcentral's name for it is "long non-coding RNA NONHSAT124049.2". Lineage: Eukaryota; Metazoa; Chordata; Mammalia; Primates; Hominidae. The record is from RNAcentral.